RNAcentral lists this unclassified non-coding RNA (307 nucleotides) under plant metagenome. RNAcentral's name for it is "partial contains 5.8S ribosomal RNA, internal transcribed spacer 2, and large subunit ribosomal RNA". The stretch from base 1 to 105 matches the Rfam family "5.8S ribosomal RNA", at positions 50 to 154 of the family's 154-position model. The record is from RNAcentral.
GAAAUGCGAUAAGUAGUGUGAAUUGCAGAAUUCAGUGAAUCAUCGAAUCUUUGAACGCACAUUGCGCCCCUCGGUAUUCCGUGGGGCAUGCCUGUUCGAGCGUCAUCUACACCCUCAAGCUCUGCUUGGUGUUGGGCGUCUGUCCCGCCUCCGCGCGCGGACUCGCCCCAAAUGCAUUGGCAGCGGUUCCUUGCCCCCCUCUUUGCGCAGCACAUUGCCAUUCGAGGCGGCGGUGGCCCGCGUCCAACAAGCUCAACCCCCCCGUCUUUGACCUCGGAUCAGGUAGGGAUACCCGCUGAACUUAAGC